AAUAGAUACCCGGGUAGCCCACGCCGUAAACGUUGGGCGCUAGGUGUGGGGAACCUUCCACGUUCUCCGUGCCGUAGCUAACGCAUUAAGCGCCCCGCCUGGGGAGUACGGCCGCAAGGCUAAAACUCAAAGGAAUUGACGGGGGCCCGCACAAGCGGCGGAGCAUGCGGCUUAAUUCGAUGCAACGCGAAGAACCUUACCUAGGCUUGACAUAUACCGAAAACUCACAGAGAUGUGGGGUCCGCAAGGGCGGUAUACAGGUGGUGCAUGGUUGUCGUCAGCUCGUGUCGUGAGAUGUUGGGUUAAGUCCCGCAACGAGCGCAACCCUCGUCCUAUGUUACCAGCGCGUUAUGGCGGGGACUCAUAGGAGACUGCCGGGGUCAACUCGGAGGAAGGUGGGGUGAGGUCAAAUCAUCAUGCCCCUUAUGUCUAGGGCUGCACGCAUGCUACAAUGGUCGGUACAAAGGGCUGCGAUACCGCAAGGUGAGCGAAUCCCAAAAGCCGGCCUCAGUUCGGAUUGGGGUCUGCAACUCGACCCCA
This 540-nucleotide ribosomal RNA is filed under the name uncultured bacterium. RNAcentral describes it as "bacterial SSU rRNA". It matches the Rfam family "Bacterial small subunit ribosomal RNA", at positions 777 to 1320 of the family's 1533-position model. The record is from RNAcentral.